RNAcentral lists this ribosomal RNA (248 nucleotides) under uncultured Actinomycetales bacterium. Its description in RNAcentral is "partial 16S ribosomal RNA". It matches the Rfam family "Bacterial small subunit ribosomal RNA", at positions 84 to 334 of the family's 1533-position model. Lineage: Bacteria; Bacillati; Actinomycetota; Actinomycetes; Actinomycetales. The record is from RNAcentral.
GGGGUGCUCGAGUGGCGAACGGGUGAGUAACACGUGAGUAACCUGCCCUUGACUUUGGGAUAACUUCAGGAAACUGGGGCUAAUACCGGAUAGGAGCUCCUGCUGCAUGGUGGGGGUUGGAAAGUUUCGGCGGUUGGGGAUGGACUCGCGGCUUAUCAGCUUGUUGGUGGGGUAGUGGCUUACAAGGCUUUGACGGGUAGCCGGCCUGAGAGGGUGACCGGCCACAUUGGGACUGAGAUACGGCCCAG